CAGGGGUGGUAUAGUACGUCAUCAACAGGUGCGCGCAACACUUCCCGAUGCGGCUAUUUUAUGUCAAAACAUCUCGAUUCGGUACAUGAAAGAUGAAAAAGGAAACAAAACUUCUAGUCUGCAUCAAUGGAAUUGUCAAUAUAUGUUAAAAAGGAUUGCUGAGUGAUUUGAGAAGUGGAGAACAUCCUCUAACGGAAUUACCCCAGACAAGGAUUUCAACGCUCAACUAGGUCUCCGUACCAAACUUUGUCACGAUUAUGUCGGUUGCUGUUUGAAGGGCCACGUGGUCAUCACAAUUGCUCGGGAAAAAAUGAGAAAUUACUGUAUCGCGCCAACGAAAUGUUCUUAUUAAGGAGUUUUAGAUGUGCGCAGGGAAAGACCAAGAGUGACUACAACCGAAUUAUAAUUACCACGUAGUAGAAUGGGACAUUGAAUCUACACUAGAAAGCGGUUGAGGAUUUAACAUUUUACUAAUGUUCAGAUUUUGCUUGCAAAUCUUAGUGCACCCAAUUACAUGUUAAAACUCGAAGUGAGCUUGAACAGUGGUAGAACAAUUUUACCUGCAAUGUAAAUUACUUUGCUUUUCUUAAACUGUUUAGUUGUUGAAAAUGUUGUUGU
Long non-coding RNA from Mercenaria mercenaria, 618 nucleotides. RefSeq lists it as uncharacterized. NCBI's taxonomy places the organism in Eukaryota, Metazoa, Mollusca, Bivalvia, Venerida, Veneridae. The record is from RefSeq and is a predicted model, not a curated record. The transcript has 3 exons.